UACGUAGGGUGCAAGCGUUGUUCGGAAUCAUUGGGCGUAAAGCGCGUGUAGGCUGUCAGGCAAGUCAGAUGUGAAAUCCCUGGGCUCAACCGAGGAAGUGCAUCCGAAACUGCCUGGCUGGAAGACGGUAGAGGAAGGUGGAAUUCCUAGUGUAGAGGUGAAAUUCGUAGAUAUUAGGAGGAAUACCGGUGGCGAAGGCGGCCUUCUGGGCCGAUCUUGACGCUGAGACGCGAAAGCGUGGGGAGCAAACAGG
This 253-nucleotide ribosomal RNA is filed under the name uncultured bacterium. RNAcentral's name for it is "partial 16S ribosomal RNA". It matches the Rfam family "Bacterial small subunit ribosomal RNA", at positions 524 to 776 of the family's 1533-position model. The record is from RNAcentral.